UACUUGGUUGAUCCUGCUGGUAUUCAUAUGCUUGUCUCAAAGAUUAAUCCAUGCAUGUCUAAGUAUGAACUAAUUCAUAGUAAGAAACUACGGAUGGCUCAUUAAAUCAGUUAUAGUUUCUUUGAUGGUACCCUACUACUCAAAUAACCGUAGUAAUUCUAGAGCUAAUACAUGCACCAAGUCCUGACUCUUUGGAAGGGAUGCAUUUAUUAGAUAAAAGGCCGACGCAGGCUUGCCCACUUCUCUGAUGAAUCAUGAUAACUCGACGGAUCGCACAGCCCUUUUGAUGGCGAUGCUUCAUUCAAAUUUAUGCCCUAUCAACUUUCGAUCGUAGGAUAGAGGCUUACCAUGGUGGUGACGGGUGAUGAAGAAUUAGGGUUCGAUUCCAGAGAGGGAGCCUGAGAAAUGGCUACCACAUCCAAGGAAGGCAGCAGGCACGCAAAUUACCCAAUCCUGACAUGGGGAGGUAGUGACAAUAAAUAAUAACACUGGGCUCAUCGAGUCUGGUAAUUGGAAUGAGUACAAUCUAAAUCCCUUAACGAGGAUCCAUUGGAGGGAAAUUCUAGUGCCAACAGUCAUGGUAAUUCCAGCUCUAAUAGCGUAUAUUUAAGUUGUUGCAGUUAAAAAUCUCAUAGUUAGAUCUUGGGUCGUAAAGGUCGGUCCGCCUACUCAGUGUGCACCUUCCCUUCCGUCCCUUUUUCCGCCAGCGUGCUCCUAGCCUUAAUUGGCUGGGUCGCGGUUUCGAUGUCAUUACUUUGAAAACAUUAGAGUGCUCAAAGCAAGCUUAUGCUCUGAAUACAUUAGCAUGGAAUAACACGAUAGGAGUCUGGUCCUAUUGUGUUGGCCUUCAGGACCGGAGUAAUGAUUAAUAGGGACUAUCGGGGGCAUUCGUAUUUCAUUGUCAGAGGUGAAAUUCUUGGAUUUAUGAAAGACAAACCACUGUGAAAGAAUUUGCCAAGGAUGUUUUCAUUAAUCAAGAACGAAAUUUGGGGGCUUGAAGACAAUCAGAUAUCGUCCUAGUCUCAACCAUAAACGAUGUCGACUGGGGAUUGGCAGAUGUUGCUCUAAGGACUCUGUCAGCACCUUCUGAGAAAUCAGAGUGUUUGGGUUCCAGGGGGAGCAUGGUUGCAAGGCUGAAACUUAAAGGAAUUGAUGGAAGGGCACCACCAGGAGUGGAGCCUGCACCUUAAUUUGACUCAACACGGGGAAAAUUACCAGGUCCAGACAUAGUAAGGAUUGACAAAUUGAGAGCUCUUUCUUGAUUCUAUGGGUGGUGGUGCAUGGUUGUUCUUAGUUGGUGGAGUGAUUUUUCUAGUUAAUUCUGAUAACGAAUGAGACCUCAGCCUGCUAACUAGCUACGCGGAGGUUCCCCUUCGCGGCUAGCUUCUUAGACGGACUAUGGCCGUUUAGGCCAUGGAAGUUUGAGGCAAUAAUAGGUUUGUGAUGCCCUUAGAUGUUCUGGGCCGCACACGUGCUAAAUUGAUGCAAUCAAUGAGUUUUUAUCCCUGGUUCGAGAGGAUCGGGAAAUAUUCUCAAAUUGCAUCAUGAUGGGGAUAGACCAUUGCAAUUAUUGGUCUUCAACGAGGAAUUCCUAGUAAGCGCGUGUCAUCAACUUGUGUUGACUACGUCCCUGCCCUUUGUACACACCUCCCGUCACUCCUACUGAUUGAAUGAUCUAGUUAAGUGUUCAGAUCGUGUCAAUGAGGGUGGUUUGCUGCUGACGAUGUCGUGAGAAGUUCACUGAACCUUAUCAUUUAGAGGAAGGAUAAGUCGUAACAAGGUUUCCAUAGGUGAACCUGUGGUAGGAUCAUUG
Molecule: non-coding RNA, 1813 nt
Organism: Picea glauca (white spruce)
Lineage: Eukaryota; Viridiplantae; Streptophyta; Pinopsida; Pinales; Pinaceae
Source: Rfam